ACUAAAAGAUCGUAACAGCAGUGCGCAAUAGGUGUCAGGUACUUUUUGGAAUCGAUGUUUUACUCAGUGCCAAAGCUUUAAAGUCAUCUACUAGCAUAAAGUGAUGACCAAAACAAGACUGCAUCAUUACCCAGUCCACUGCACCAGGAAGAUUAAUAUCAGUUGCUAAAAAAACAAUAUCUUCUCCUGUAAUAAGAGCAAUAUGCGGCAUUACUUGCUCAAGAGAUCCUUGCCACUUACAAGAAGCACCUGGGCAAGGACAACUGUAUGGACGGAAUUCACAUGCAUCUUCAUGAUCUGCCUUUUCGGUAGGACAGCAGUUAAGCUUUGGUCGGCAAUUGCUACAAACAAGGUGUCCACUCUGACAUUGUAAAAUUGGUGGAAGAACAUAAUCAAAGCAA
Long non-coding RNA from Osmia bicornis bicornis, 401 nucleotides. RefSeq lists it as uncharacterized. NCBI's taxonomy places the organism in Eukaryota, Metazoa, Arthropoda, Insecta, Hymenoptera, Megachilidae. The transcript is spliced from 4 exons. The record is from RefSeq and is a predicted model, not a curated record.